CAGUAGCGUAUAUUAAAGUUGUUGCGGUAAAAAAGCUCGUAGUUGGAUUUCUGUUGAGGACGACUGGUCCAAACCACGUUUGCGCAUCUAGUCUGGCCUCAGCAUCCUCUCGAAAGACGUUUCUGUGCUUGAUUGCAUGGUGCGGAGUUCGGGACUUUUACUUUGAGGAAAUUAGAGUGUUCACGGCAGGCUAUCGCCCGAAUACAUUAGCAUGGAAUAAUACUAUAGGAUCUCGAUUCUAUUUUGUUGGUUUCUAGAAGCGAGAUAAUGAUUAAUAGGGACAACUGGGGGCAUUCGUAUUAACACGUCAGAGGUGGAAUUCUUGGAUUGUGUUACGACGAACUACUGCGAAAGCAUUUGCCAAGGAUGUUUUCAUUGAUCAAGAACGAAAGUAAGGGGAUCGAAGAUGAUUAGAUACCAU
This 421-nucleotide ribosomal RNA is filed under the name uncultured eukaryote. RNAcentral's name for it is "bacterial SSU rRNA". It matches the Rfam family "Eukaryotic small subunit ribosomal RNA", at positions 592 to 1018 of the family's 1831-position model. The record is from RNAcentral.